AGGGUUGUGGCUCAGUGGGAGGAGUGCUUGCCUAGCACACAUGAGGCCCUGGGUUCAAUCCUUAGCACCACUU
Molecule: transfer RNA, 73 nt
Filed under: Ictidomys tridecemlineatus (thirteen-lined ground squirrel)
Lineage: Eukaryota; Metazoa; Chordata; Mammalia; Rodentia; Sciuridae
Description: Spermophilus tridecemlineatus (thirteen-lined ground squirrel) tRNA
Rfam family: tRNA
About the family: Transfer RNA (tRNA) molecules are approximately 80 nucleotides in length. Their secondary structure includes four short double-helical elements and three loops (D, anti-codon, and T loops). Further hydrogen bonds mediate the characteristic L-shaped molecular structure. tRNAs have two regions of fundamental functional importance: the anti-codon, which is responsible for specific mRNA codon recognition, and the 3' end, to which the tRNAs corresponding amino acid is attached (by aminoacyl-tRNA synthetases). tRNAs cope with the degeneracy of the genetic code in two manners: having more than one tRNA (with a specific anti-codon) for a particular amino acid; and 'wobble' base-pairing, i.e. permitting non-standard base-pairing at the 3rd anti-codon position.
Source: Rfam by way of RNAcentral